RNAcentral lists this ribosomal RNA (714 nucleotides) under uncultured marine bacterium. Its description in RNAcentral is "bacterial SSU rRNA". It matches the Rfam family "Bacterial small subunit ribosomal RNA", at positions 66 to 774 of the family's 1533-position model. The record is from RNAcentral.
GCGAGAAAGUAUCUUCGGAUAUGAGUAGAGCGGCGGACGGGUGAGUAACGCGUAGGAAUCUACCUAGUAGAAGGGGAUAGCCCGGGGAAACCCGGAUUAAUACCGUAUACCUCCUUCGGGAGAAAGAAGGCCUCUCUUUGAAGCUUUCGCUACUAGAUGAGCCUGCGUAAGAUUAGCUUGUUGGUGAGGUAAAGGCUCACCAAGGCGACGAUCUUUAGCUGGUCUGAGAGGACGAUCAGCCACAUUGGGACUGAGACACGGCCCAGACUCCUACGGGAGGCAGCAGUGGGGAAUAUUGGACAAUGGGCGCAAGCCUGAUCCAGCCAUACCGCGUGUGUGAAGAAGGCCUUCGGGUUGUAAAGCACUUUAAGCAGGGAGAAAAAGUUAUAAGUUAAUACCUUAUAACCCUGAUGUUACCUGCAGAAUAAGCACCGGCUAAUUCCGUGCCAGCAGCCGCAGUAAUACGGAAGGUGCAAGCGUUAAUCGGAAUUACUGGGCGUAAAGCGCGCGUAGGUGGUUUGUUAAGUUGGAUGUGAAAGCCCUGGGCUCAACCUAGGAACUGCAUCCAAAACUAACUCACUAGAGUACGAUAGAGGGAGGUAGAAUUCAUAGUGUAGCGGUGGAAUGCGUAGAUAUUAUGAAGAAUACCAGUGGCGAAGGCGGCCUCCUGGAUCUUGUACUGACACUGAGGUGCGAAAGCGUGGGUAGCGAACA